UGGGGGGUUGUGUAACGGUAGCACUCGAGCUUUUGGAGCUCGUAGUCCUGGUUCGAAUCCAGGCCUCCCAGCCA
This 74-nucleotide transfer RNA is filed under the name Candidatus Omnitrophota bacterium. Its description in RNAcentral is "Candidatus Omnitrophica bacterium tRNA-Gln". It matches the Rfam family "tRNA". Rfam says of the family: Transfer RNA (tRNA) molecules are approximately 80 nucleotides in length. The record is from RNAcentral. Lineage: Bacteria; Pseudomonadati; Candidatus Omnitrophota.